RNAcentral lists this ribosomal RNA (367 nucleotides) under uncultured bacterium. RNAcentral's name for it is "bacterial SSU rRNA". It matches the Rfam family "Bacterial small subunit ribosomal RNA", at positions 528 to 893 of the family's 1533-position model. The record is from RNAcentral.
GGGGGGGCAAGCGUUGUUCGGAAUUACUGGGCGUAAAGGGCUCGUAGGUGGCCAACUAAGUCGGACGUGAAAUCCCUCAGCUUAACUGGGGAACUGCGUCCGAUACUGGAUGGCUUGAGUUUGGGAGAGGGAUGCGGAAUUCCAGGUGUAGCGGUGAAAUGCGUAGAUAUCUGGAGGAACACCGGUGGCGAAGGCGGCAUCCUGGACCAACACUGACACUGAGGAGCGAAAGCCAGGGGAGCAAACGGGAUUAGAUACCCCGGUAGUCCUGGCCCUAAACGAUGAAUGCUUGGUGUGGCGGGUAUCGAUCCCUGCCGUGCCGAAGCUAACGCAUUAAGCAUUCCGCCUGGGGAGUACGGUCGCAAGG